Molecule: ribosomal RNA, 254 nt
Filed under: uncultured bacterium
Lineage: Bacteria
Description: partial 16S ribosomal RNA
Rfam family: Bacterial small subunit ribosomal RNA
Source: RNAcentral
UACGUAGGGUGCAAGCGUUUAAUCGGAAUUGCUGGGCGUAAAGCGUGCGCAGGCGGCUUUGCAAGACAGAUGUGAAAUCCCCGGGCUUAACCUGGGAACUGCAUUUGUGACUGCAUGGCUAGAGUUUGGCAGAGGGGGGUAGAAUUCCACGUGUAGCAGUGAAAUGCGUAGAUAUGUGGAGGAACACCGAUGGCGAAGGCAGCCCCCUGGGUCAAGACUGACGCUCAUGCACGAAAGCGUGGGGAGCAAACAGG